UGUCGUAACAAGGUUUCCGUAGGUGAACCUGCGGAAGGAUCAUUGACACAACAUGCGUCGGCGCCCGCCGCGCACAAAACCUUUCCACCGCGUAUGCGAGACCUCGCCGAUCCAAUCGCGUUGUCCGAACCCUCAGUUGGCUUUUCAUUCUUUUUUUUCACCCACACCCAACAACCAACGCUUGAAUCAACAAAUUCAAACAAACCAAAAGAUUUACCUUUCAACGAUGGAUCUCUUGGUUCCCGCAACGAUGAAGAACGCCGCGAAACGCGAUAUGUAAUGUGAAUUGCAGGAUUAAGUGAAUCAUCAAAUCUUUGAACGCAAAUUGCUGCUCGAACUCUUGCAGUCCGAGCAUGCCUGCUUCAGACUCGUUUUCCAAACGCAAACACGCUGGGCGUUGCACCCGCAAACGGAGGAUCGCCUCAAGAGCUGCGCGGGGUUCCGAACUCGCGCCGAGGUAGUCACUGACCGAGGCGCAUUGCGCGAGGACCCUUCUCUCUCUAUAACCUAGAGCUGAAGUCAGGUAAGAGGACCCGCUGAAUUUAAACAUAUUACUAAGCGGAGGAAGAGAAACUAACCAGGAUUCCCUCAGUAACGGCGAGUGAAGCGGGAUCAGCUCAAUUUGAAAACCUGCCGCCCCCGGCGGUCGGCUUGUAGCCUGGGUGUGGGCCCUGUUGGUUGCGUCCGGUGUAAUUCGGUACUGUGAUACCGAGCCGGAGAGGGUAACAGCCCCGUCACGUCGGAGCGCACCUUCGCCUGGGCCCCUACCCGUGAGUCGUGUUGCUUGGGACUGCAGCGCCAAACCGGAGGUAAUGUCCUUCGAAAGCUAAAUAUUUGCGGGAGACCGAUAGCGAACAAGUACCGUGAGGGAAAGAUGAAAAGAACUUUGAAAAGAAAGUGAAAUAGUACGUGAAAUCGUUGGAAGCAAGCGAAUCAGUCUUCCUUCCCGUCGGGGGCCUCGCGCCCCCGCUCGGGGCCACGAUCGUCCAGCCACCGACCACAAGGCCCGCCACCGUCCACGGACGCGGCGUGUGCUUAGUCGCGGGCUGGCCGAGGAUUUCCGCGCCGCGCCCUGCGUCUCCGGACGCUGCGCGGCCAGGAUCGUGGCUUGCUACCGGACUGAUCCGACCCGUCUUGAAACACGGACCAAGGAGUCUAACAUGUGCGCGAGUAUUUGGGUGGCAAACCCAUGUGCGGAGGGAAACCGAGAUUGCCCGAGCCCCUGUGGGCGCAAGGCAGGCAGAGCGUUGGCCUUCUGGCCAGUGCCUAGCAGGAGCGUACAUGCUGGGACCCGAAAGAUGGUGAACUAUGCGUGA
This 1316-nucleotide ribosomal RNA is filed under the name Dictyocoryne truncatum. RNAcentral describes it as "eukaryotic LSU rRNA". The stretch from base 510 to 1316 matches the Rfam family "Eukaryotic large subunit ribosomal RNA", at positions 1 to 840 of the family's 3401-position model. Lineage: Eukaryota; Polycystinea; Spumellaria; Spongodiscidae. The record is from RNAcentral.